UACGUAGGUGGCAAGCGUUGUCCGGAUUUAUUGGGGUUAAAGGGUGCGUAGGCGGUCUAUUAAGUCAGUGCUGAAAUAUCCCGGCUUAACCGGGAGGGUGGCAUUGAUACUGAUGGACUUGAGUAGAGUCGAGGUAGGCGGAAUUGACGGUGUAGCGGUGAAAUGCUUAGAUAUCGUCAAGAACACCGAUAGUGUAGACAGCUUACUAGGCUCAAACUGACGCUGAGGCACGAAAGUGUGGGGAUCAAACAGG
RNAcentral lists this ribosomal RNA (253 nucleotides) under uncultured bacterium. RNAcentral describes it as "partial 16S ribosomal RNA". It matches the Rfam family "Bacterial small subunit ribosomal RNA", at positions 524 to 776 of the family's 1533-position model. The record is from RNAcentral.